This is a non-coding RNA of Vicia faba (fava bean), 183 nucleotides long. The record is from the annotation of a GenBank genome assembly. NCBI's taxonomy places the organism in Eukaryota, Viridiplantae, Streptophyta, Magnoliopsida, Fabales, Fabaceae.
AUGUUAUCAUCUUCUUCAAUCUUCAAAAACCUCUUCUCCACAACUGAUUAUUUCAACUGGCCUCAAGCUCUGGACUGCAUCAGCAACAUCAACGUGACCACAUUCAAUCUUCAUUGUUUCUGCAACAGCAUACGCAUCACUGCAACACGUCAAUUAUCUCUAACUUCUUCGUAUUUGCAAUAA